UUGCUAGCUGAUUGUAUAUAUAUGCUGGCCGUAUUUCAUAGCAAGCUCGCUUUUAAUAGGCAACCAGUAAUAUGAGCAAUUCUUUACCUACAAGCCUAUAAUUAUAUUAACUCUAAGAGAAAUCUAAUAAUAAACGGAGUGAAUUGAAAUAUCUUAUUAACUUCAGGAAAAGAAAUCAAAAGAGAUUCUAUGAUUAGCGUGAGCUAA
This 207-nucleotide ribosomal RNA is filed under the name Fusarium pseudograminearum CS3220. RNAcentral describes it as "LSU ribosomal RNA Mit. Neurospora crassa". The record is from RNAcentral. Lineage: Eukaryota; Fungi; Ascomycota; Sordariomycetes; Hypocreales; Nectriaceae. RNAcentral also lists the same sequence under 1 other name.